RNAcentral lists this long non-coding RNA (6602 nucleotides) under Vitis vinifera (wine grape). RNAcentral's name for it is "long non-coding RNA (VVIN_LNC007756)". Lineage: Eukaryota; Viridiplantae; Streptophyta; Magnoliopsida; Vitales; Vitaceae. The record is from RNAcentral.
AAACCCUCCACUUCUGCUCCUCUCUUUAUAUUCUCAUACUUUGGACGCUCAUCCUCACCUCCCAUCUUCACCUCCUGCUCUCUUUCUCUCUGUCUCUCUCUAUUUCUCUGUCUCUGAAACUUUCUUUCUCUGGAGAAGAUGAAGAUGACUUCCACUGGGUUUAAAGUUGUGAUGAUGCUGGCUUUGUUGGCCACCUCAUGCAUGGCACAAGCUCCAGGAGCAUCUCCAACACCGACACCCACACCCCCAGCGACCUCGCCUGCACCAUCAUCUCCGCCGUCCACUCCAGUUCCAUCUCCGGCACCAUCCUCUCCACCUACUUCAUCUCCAGCUCCUUCUCCCACCACUGGCUCAACCCCAUCACCCACUCCUUCUCCCUCCUCCACCUCACCUUCCACACCCCCUACUACUACACCAUCUCCUUCUCCCAGCAUCGCUUCUCCUCCGGCACCGCCGACAUCCGGUUCCCGUUCACCCCCUACUGCAACCCCUACUGAAUCACCCAACGCAGCUUCGCUGAUGGUUGGUUGAACAGAGUCGUCAUUGCCGGAACUGCCCUNNNNNNNNNNNNNNNNNNNNNNNNNNNNNNNNNNNNNNNNNNNNNNNNNNNNNNNNNNNNNNNNNNNNNNNNNNNNNNNNNNNNNNNNNNNNNNNNNNNNNNNNNNNNAAAUUACGGAAAGCUCUGUUUGUAUCAGGCCACUUGCGUUUUGUGGUCAAAAGAUUGGUUUAAUUUUUCAAAGUUUCUUCAUCAGAAGACAGACUUUAACACUGCAUCAUACUUCUUCUCAAAGUAACCGGCCGGUCGAUUCGUACUUUCCACCUCAAGCUUCAUGCCCAUUUUCUAAUUACUUAAUGAGUAGGGCUGCCAUGAUGCCAUCCCAUCCAUACACGCAUGCUAUUCAUUUUUUCUUAACUCUCAGAAGAAAAUGGGUAAGAUUUAGAACUCCCUAUUUUACUUAUAAAUGGUCUCCAUCAACCAAUUCUUCGGUCACAAAUAAACAGAACUCGGGCACUAACCAAUUUUCCACGUCUGAAUGCUGAAUGAUUUUAAACAGCUGUGGAACUAAUAAUAAACGUACAUGAGCCAGUGCGUAGAAAUCAAUCGCUUAAUUGAAUAAGUCCUGGCGGUUUCUGAGGAUGGCAGGACUAGGGCUUUUUUCAGUAACUCGUAUAAAAUAAACCUUAAAAUAAUAAUAAGACUUCGACUAAAAGACAAAAGGAAAAGUUGUGGAAGCAGCAGCCCAUCACCUUCGCAUCUUACAGCUGCUUCAAUGUCGUUUGCCAUGGAUUUUUUAUAUUUUUUUCUUGGUUAAAACAAUUCAACCGACAAUGUUUUGACUAUGUUUUGGGGGCCAUUUGAACCUUUCUGUAGGGAUAUGAUGAAGUCAUUCUAUUUUUGGGUUUCACAGGUAUCCAAAUGUAUUCGUCUUUAUCAGGGAUAGCAUUAGUCAUUAGAGGUUAAGACUAUGGCAACGGAUUCGGGACCCAAUAGCUCUUACCUUUGGCGGAAUCAAAUUGGUGUUUGUGAUUGUCAUACAAGAAAUGAGACAAAAUAUAUGGUCCAACUCAAUAGAAUAACAUAAUCUCUUGGUGACGGGUAGGGCGGCCACAUUGAGUUUGGGUUGAUGCCCAAUUCGAGUUCAAUCCAAGUUGACAACAAUUAAAAUUAAAUCUAAUCUGAUUUCCAAUCCAAUCUCCUUUUUCUAACUUUAGAUCGAUUAGAUUAUACUGCUUAUAAUAUUUUCAAUGUUUUUUUAUAAAAUUUUUUUUAAUAUAUUUAUAUAAAAAUUUAAAUAAUAAAUGAGAUAAAAUUUUAAAAUAAUAACUAACAAAAAAAAAUGUAUAAAUAAUAUUUUUUUUCUUAAAUUUUUUAAAAAUUGAAUAUUAUUAUAUAAGAUAAUAUAAAUUAUAAUUAUUAUAAAAAUGUUAAAUAAAGUUCAAGUUAAAAUCGAUAUGUUCAAACCCUUGAUAUGUUCAACCUAAAUUGAGUUUGAAUAAAAAAAACCUUAAACCUAGUCACUUGAUUAGUCAUAAUAUUAAAAAUGAUUAUUUAGAUCAAUUGAAUAAUCAGAUUAGAUUUGGGUUGAAUUAAGUUAACCUCAUCUAAGUUACACCCGUGGCAAAGAAUUAUUAAUAAUAGUUUGCCUAAAUGAAAAUUGAGGCAAGAAGGUGAAUUUUUUUUUAUUUAAGAACUAUUGGAUUCAAAAUGAUUUUUUAAUCAAAUAUAUUACUAAUAAAAAAGGUCAGAUUAGGCAAUAAAUCAACUUACCAACAUCAAAUUGUAAUAUGAAGCAGGAUAGAACUAAAGUACUGAGUCCAACCCCUUUUAAUCAAGAUUUCCAUUGGGCCCAGUUGUGUGUCUACCUAUUUGUAAGCGAAUAAGGCCCAACCGGCCCAUACUGAAGAACAAGAACCCAUCCUCCUGUGUAAGAUCUUUUGUACUUAUCCAAGCCUUCGAGCAUCAAUCAAACCAUUCGACCGCAAUGUUCUUGAUCUUCCAGAAACAUCUUCUAAGUUUCUGGACUGGAAACAACGGAUCAUUCUGGACUUCAUUACAUCAAGUGGAACGUGUCUAGCUCCUUCGAAUUCAGGCCACUUAUCUUUUAUCUUUAUGCCCUCAGAAGCCAGAAAAUAUUUAAAAAAAGGAGGAAAAAAAAAAAAACACCCAGAAGACAAUUUUGAAUGGACUACAAUACGCAAGAAAAACAAGAAGUAAUGAAUUUGCAUAUGAUUGGGAAGUGUGGGAAGCUGAAAAGAUAAGACAGAGGUGGAAGCACAACAUGACAAAUAUGAUUACCUAUGUUCUCACGUAGCUUAGAACUCACCAUCUUUGACUCGGGUAACCAUGACAUUGUAAUACACAGAUCUGACACAGCCUUCCCAUCGUGGAGAGGCCUAGUGUUUUUGAUUAUCUUCCUUUUCGGGAGACUCUGGGCACCACAAAAAUCAAUGACAUGUAGGGCAGUUUCCAUAAUAUUAGUCUGAACAAUUAAUUUUGUAGUACCAUUUUCCAAAAAAUGGACGACAGGAUUCUGUUCAAGGGUUUUUAAUCGUUUGACAAGUAGUUGAAAUUAGAGGAGUUGGAACACGUUUUGACAGGAGCUGGGGGAACUAGAAAUACCUAUUAAUUAAUGAAACGACAAGGUUGGGGAGAACUACAAUACCCAACAGCCAUAUAAAGGACCAAGUUAAUGACCUAAAAUCACUUCUUUUGGUUUCAGCUCUUCUCUUAAGUUUUCUCUCUCAAACCUUUUGGGGGGUGGCAUCUGUCUGAUCAUUGAAAAUCCAGGAAUUAGGGAGAAAGAAUCCACGGUCGCAACAUGUCCACAAACGGGGAAGUGAUCGAGAAAGACGCAAAGGUUCCCUUAUUGCAAGAUUAUUUAUCAAGCUAUGGAGAAGAGAGGCAUGAUAGGGAUCUUGCAGGGAGGAUGUGGGAAGAAUCGAAGAAGCUAUGGCACAUAGUGGGGCCUGCGAUAUUCAGCCGAAUUGCCUCCUACUCCAUGCUUGUGAUCACCCAAGCCUUUGCUGGCCACCUGGGUGAUCUUGAGCUCGCUGCUAUCUCCAUUGCCAAUAAUGUCAUCGUCGGUUUCGACUUCGGUCUCUUGGUACACACGACUCUAUCUCUUCUCUCUUUCAUGGGGCCAUGGCCUUUUCUGUUAUCGAUUCUCUUAUGUGGGUGCUUUGGCUUUUUUCCUUUUCUAUGAUUUGUCAGCUGGGGAUGGCAAGUGCUUUAGAAACGCUAUGUGGGCNNNNNNNNNNNNNNNNNNNNNNNNNNNNNNNNNNNNNNNNNNNNNNNNNNNNNNNNNNNNNNNNNNNNNNNNNNNNNNNNNNNNNNNNNNNNNNNNNNNNUUUAAUUGGCUUCUACUUUUUCGGCAGCAGGACAAUAAAUGGGUGGGAAAUGAUGAUUCCUCUGGCUUUCUUUGCUGGAACCCGGGUAAUUUCCUUUUCUAUCCUUGUUGUCUUGGAUGAUGGAUCACGGAAGUGAUGGAACCCAUGUGCCGUAUUGUGAGCAAUUUCAUGCCACGUUCCUUCCGCUCCGUGGCUCACCAUAGAUAGGGUUUGGUUGGUAUUCAAAAUAUGAGGUCUAGAACACCAAUCGACUGAGUCAUUUGUGGCAAACUCAGAGAUUGCUUUUCGAUGGUAUUAUUAUUAUUAUUUACGGCGGUUCAUCAAAUUUUGAAAAUAAUACUUUGUCAACCUAAAUAAGGAUGUUGAUGGAUGACCUUAUCUUAGGGUCCGUUGCAAUAUGCAUCUCAAACGUAUUCCUAGUCCGUGAUAUCUUCAAAGAGACUUAACACCAUAAAUUUUGAAAUGAAAGAUACUAGAAUGCCAUCGUACAGAGCACUUCCUUUAAGAAUGGUUUAUAGGUUGAGAGAAAGAUUUACUUCAUUCCUUUUUCCUGACAUAGACUUAUCUUUUAUAUUCAUACAUAAGACAGACAGACAGACAUGGUUCCAAUAAUAAUAUUUGGAACUCCAUCAACAUGGGGCGAGGCCCUAGGUUAGGUAUGCCGAAUGAGUGGGACAAAAAAGAGUAAUGAGAGACGGGUCCAGCAGGAGAAAUUAGGACCAGUACUAGAAAUAUGGGUGAAUGGAAAAUGGUGAAGUUGGUGAAUGAUGUGUCUUUCUUCAUUGGGUUGCAUUUUGCCAAGAAAGUUCAAGUAAUCUUUAACCUGCCGACAAGCUUUCGAGUUUCAACAUCAAUAGGACAAUUAUUUCUUUCGUGUCAAAAGAAGCCACUUGCUGACAAAAUUUUUGUAUUCUUGAUUGAUCAAAUAGGAUAGGAUCUACACAUAAAAUACCAUUUCUAAUUAGAUAUAAUAUUCUUGAUUAUAUUUAUAUUUGGUUUGUAAAUAAAAUAAAAAAAAAUAUAACGGUAACCCAAGUUUAUAAAAUCCAAACUUCAUUCAUAUAUUUAAAAAUAGUUAGAAUUUUUUUUUACUUUUAGCUCAAAGGUAUUGCUAAUUUUGACAUUUAAGUGUUACCUUUUAAUGAUACAGAGUGAGGGUGGCAAACGAGCUGGGUGCAGGCAAUGGAAAAGGAGCCAAGUUUGCAACGAUUGUAGCAGUGACCACAUCCAUUGUGAUCGGCCUCUUCUUCUGGCUACUCAUUAUCUUCUUCCACAAUGAGCUUGCCCUAAUAUUCUCGUCGAGUGAACCAGUCUUGAAGGCAGUUAACAAGCUCUCCAUCCUCUUAGCCUUCACGGUUCUCCUCAACAGCGUUCAGCCAGUCCUCUCUGGUAAACUCUUGUCGUCUUAUCUGUGAUUUCUUCUCAAUCUCAUGAAUCUCUAUGAGAAGUCCAUUUGCAUGCACUUAUAUAACAUUAGGAUUUCCUGAACAGGGGUGGCUGUGGGAUCUGGAUGGCAAUCUUAUGUCGCUUAUAUAAACCUAGGCUGCUACUAUCUGAUCGGGGUCCCCCUCGGCUUUUUGAUGGGAUGGGGCUUCCAUCAGGGAGUCAUGGUAAGAAAUUUUGCAAAAUUCAGAUUUCAAUUCAUGCUUACUUGGUAUGUUCUGACCCUACUGCAUAUGGACAUGAUUAGGGUAUCUGGGCUGGUAUGAUCUUUGGAGGAACUGCACUGCAGACCUUGAUAUUGGCCAUCAUUACCAUUCGGUGUGACUGGGAAAAGGAGGUAAAAAAAAAAUACUAACUUGUGCGGUUUUUGAAUUUUAGUAUGCUUUAGCACAUGCCAAAUCAUAUGCAUUUCAUUUGAUUUAAUUUGGGUUGAAAUUGCAGGCAGAGAAAGCGAGCCUGCAUGUAAAGAAGUGGGCAGAGUCGAUUUAAAGCUGUGAUGGGCUGGCUUAUUGAAUUUUUAUUUGGCAUUUUUCCUUGGAAAAAGAUUCCACGUUUAUAACAUGUUGUGUAACUCCACCAAAAUAGUCCGAGUGUUAUCAUUCUUAGAUUUUUGCAAUCCAAAUUGACUAUUGGGAUGAAUUGAUAUUUUGUUGGUCAAACCAAAAACAAUUAAUUGGGUUUAGGGGAGGUUAGCUGUGUGUAUUUGACAAUUUGUGGCCUGACACACACAUUGGUAUCCACAGCUGAUAACUGGCGGCCCAAUAUAUGGAUGGUUAAACCCAAUAGAAUUGCCUAACCCCCUCCCAUCGAAACCCAGCCCAAACCCAAACAUAAUUGCAAAUGAUAUUCUUUUGUCAAAUUUAAUUGAAUUUGGUUGAAGCGGCUGACUCGGGUGCCUUGGGGCAGUGUUGGAUGUAGAGGAAGCAUGCCACAUGAUCACAUACAGUGACAGUUGUCCAAUCUCCAUUGCAUGCAGUUUGGAUAUAUACUGACUACAGAGUGGGAAAUUGAAGCUCAUUCCCCUGCUGCCAAUCAACGCUGAAGGCUGAUGCCACCGACAAAGGUUAGGUUAGCUUUGCUUUUAUGACUGGAACCCACACUACCCACUACCCUCUGACCUCUCCGUGGGGACGACACUCUCAGAGCAGACCACCGUGAGCAUUUCCUGGGAUUGAAUUCUGUCCUUACUUGAAGGACUUUUUUAUAAAAAAAAAAUGGAUUUUAACUUUUUGUUAAAAAUAAUUAUUUUUGAAUUUCGGUUGUAUUUUUUAUUUUAUUUUUGAAUCAGUUUUUAUCAGUAAAUAAUAAAA